RNAcentral lists this ribosomal RNA (192 nucleotides) under Escherichia coli. RNAcentral describes it as "partial 16S ribosomal RNA". It matches the Rfam family "Bacterial small subunit ribosomal RNA", at positions 1 to 186 of the family's 1533-position model. The record is from RNAcentral. RNAcentral also lists the same sequence under 1 other name. Lineage: Bacteria; Pseudomonadati; Pseudomonadota; Gammaproteobacteria; Enterobacterales; Enterobacteriaceae.
AAAUUGAAGAGUUUGAUCAUGGCUCAGAUUGAACGCUGGCGGCAGGCCUAACACAUGCAAGUCGAACGGUAACAGGAAGCAGCUUGCUGUUUCGCUGACGAGUGGCGGACGGGUGAGUAAUGUCUGGGAAACUGCCUGAUGGAGGGGGAUAACUACUGGAAACGGUAGCUAAUACCGCAUAACGUCGCAAGA